ACGGGUGAGUAAUGUCUGGGAAACUGCCCGAUGGAGGGGGAUAACUACUGGAAACGGUAGCUAAUACCGCAUAACGUCUUCGGACCAAAGUGGGGGACCUUCGGGCCUCACACCAUCGGAUGUGCCCAGAUGGGAUUAGCUAGUAGGUGGGGUAACGGCUCACCUAGGCGACGAUCCCUAGCUGGUCUGAGAGGAUGACCAGCCACACUAGAACUGAGACACGGUCCAGACUCCUACGGGAGGCAGCAGUGGGGAAUAUUGCACAAUGGGCGCAAGCCUGAUGCAGCCAUGCCGCGUGUAUGAAGAAGGCCUUCGGGUUGUAAAGUACUUUCAGCGGGGAGGAAGGCGAUGUGGUUAAUAACCGCGUCGAUUGACGUUACCCGCAGAAGAAGCACCGGCUAACUCCGUGCCAGCAGCCGCGGUAAUACGGAGGGUGCAAGCGUUAAUCGGAAUUACUGGGCGUAAAGCGCACGCAGGCGGUCUGUCAAGUCGGAUGUGAAAUCCCCGGGCUUAACCUGGGAACUGCAUUCGAAACUGGCAGGCUUGAGUCUCGUAGAGGGGGGUAGAAUUCCAGGUGUAGCGGUGA
This 586-nucleotide ribosomal RNA is filed under the name uncultured bacterium. Its description in RNAcentral is "bacterial SSU rRNA". It matches the Rfam family "Bacterial small subunit ribosomal RNA", at positions 102 to 684 of the family's 1533-position model. The record is from RNAcentral.